AUAGACCAGCCUCUGCUGGAUCAGGAAGGCAUGUACUUCAUUCCAGUCUGUGAGAAGAUAAAGAGCUGUGGGAAACCAAGAAUUAAAAACUGCUGGUUCAUGACAGAAGGUUACAGGCAGAUCUCCACUUUCCAUGUCUGCAUAAGAAUAAAUCAAGGUCUUUAGCAAA
Long non-coding RNA from Pipra filicauda (Wire-tailed manakin), 169 nucleotides. RefSeq lists it as uncharacterized. The transcript is spliced from 2 exons. The record is from RefSeq and is a predicted model, not a curated record. NCBI's taxonomy places the organism in Eukaryota, Metazoa, Chordata, Aves, Passeriformes, Pipridae.